CUUAACUCCGGAUCUGCGGUGGGUACGGGCAGACUAGAGUGAUGUAGGGGAGACUGGAAUUCCUGGUGUAGCGGUGAAAUGCGCAGAUAUCAGGAGGAACACCGAUGGCGAAGGCAGGUCUCUGGGCAUUAACUGACGCUGAGGAGCGAAAGCAUGGGGAGCGAACAGGAUUAGAUACCCUGGUAGUCCAUGCCGUAAACGUUGGGCACUAGGUGUGGGGGACAUUCCACGUUUUCCGCGCCGUAGCUAACGCAUUAAGUGCCCCGCCUGGGGAGUACGGCCGCAAGGCUAAAACUCAAAGGAAUCGACGGGGGCCCGCACAAGCGGCGGAGCAUGCGGAUUAAUUCGAUGCAACGCGAAGAACCUUACCAAGGCCUGACAUGAACUGGAACAGCGCAGAGAUGUGUUGGCCGCUUGCGGCCGGUUUACAGGUGGUGCAUGGUUGUCGUCAGCUCGUGUCGUGAGAUGUUGGGUUAAGUCCCGCAACGAGCGCAACCCUCGUUCUAUGUUGCCAGCGCGUUAUGGCGGGGACUCAUAGGAGACUGCCGGGGUCAACUCGGAGGAA
RNAcentral lists this ribosomal RNA (565 nucleotides) under uncultured Arthrobacter sp. Its description in RNAcentral is "bacterial SSU rRNA". It matches the Rfam family "Bacterial small subunit ribosomal RNA", at positions 608 to 1171 of the family's 1533-position model. The record is from RNAcentral. Lineage: Bacteria; Bacillati; Actinomycetota; Actinomycetes; Micrococcales; Micrococcaceae.